CCUACGGGAGGCAGCAGUGGGGAAUAUUGGGCAAUGGGCGCAAGCCUGACCCAGCAACGCCGCGUGAAGGAAGAAGGCUUUCGGGUUGUAAACUUCUUUUCUCAGGGACGAAGAAAGUGACGGUACCUGAGGAAUAAGCCACGGCUAACUACGUGCCAGCAGCCGCGGUAAUACGUAGGUGGCAAGCGUUAUCCGGAUUUACUGGGUGUAAAGGGCGUGUAGGCGGGGAGGCAAGUCAGAUGUGAAAACCACGGGCUCAACCUGUGGCCUGCAUUUGAAAAUGUUUAUCUUGAGUGCUGGAGAGGCAAUCGGAAUUCCGGGUGUAGCGGUGAAAUGCGUAGAUAUACGGAGGAACACCAGUGGCGAAGGCGGAUUGCUGGACAGUAACUGACGCUGAGGCGCGAAAGCGUGGGGAGCAAACAGGAUUAGAUACCCCAGUAGUC
RNAcentral lists this ribosomal RNA (443 nucleotides) under uncultured bacterium. RNAcentral's name for it is "partial 16S ribosomal RNA". It matches the Rfam family "Bacterial small subunit ribosomal RNA", at positions 338 to 795 of the family's 1533-position model. The record is from RNAcentral.